RNAcentral lists this long non-coding RNA (418 nucleotides) under Lathyrus oleraceus (garden pea). RNAcentral describes it as "Pisum sativum (pea) long non-coding RNA (PSAT_LNC014334)". The record is from RNAcentral. Lineage: Eukaryota; Viridiplantae; Streptophyta; Magnoliopsida; Fabales; Fabaceae.
AAUACAAUUUUUACCAAAAAAAUAACACUGAUUCAAUUGGUAAAUAUGAAAAACACAACCACAAAAUAAAAAUAUACAUUUUCUACUAAGGAAGACAACAUUACCUGCACAUGGAUGAAGGAGAUAAAAAAAAUUCGGUUGUAGAUAAUCCUUGAUCAAUUGUCACAAAACUUGUCUCUUUAUUUGACAUAAAUCAUAAGAGAAGAAACACUAAAAUCAAAGCAAGACAAUAGUAAGGGCACAUAAAAUAUGACUUGUAAUAGUGAAGCAAAAUAACAUGAAAUCAACAUACCUCAUAAAACAGAGUUGCAGCAAGAAUGAAAAACAGAGUUGCAACAAAUUUCAUAAAACCACAUAAUCAUUCAUUAUUUUCAGCACUAAUACACACAUAUAUAACAGAAAAUCAAAGAUUUCAUAU